This is a long non-coding RNA of Eriocheir sinensis (Chinese mitten crab), 829 nucleotides long. RefSeq lists it as uncharacterized. The record is from RefSeq and is a predicted model, not a curated record. The transcript is spliced from 5 exons. NCBI's taxonomy places the organism in Eukaryota, Metazoa, Arthropoda, Malacostraca, Decapoda, Varunidae.
GAGAGGUGGGUUAAGGCAAGGUUAGGUAAGGUAAAGCUUGUUAAGGUAAGGAGAGGUGGGUUAAGGCAAGGUUAGGUAAGGUAAAGCUUGUUAAGGUAAGGAGAGGUGGGUUAAGGCAAGGUUAGGUAAGGUAAAGCUUGUUAAGGUAAGGAGAGGUGGGUUAAGGCAAGGUUAGGUAAGGUAAAGCUUGUUAAGGUAAGGAGAGGUGGGUUAAGGCAAGGUUAGGUAAGGUAAAGCUUGUUAAGGUAAGGAGAGGUGGGUUAAGGCAAGGUUAGGUAAGGUAAAGCUUGUUAAGGUAAGGAGAGGUGGGUUACAGCAAGGUUAGGUAAGGUAAAGCUUGUUAAGGUAAGGAGAGGUGGGUUAAGGCAAGGUUAGGUAAGGUAAGGCCAUAGCUGGGUGUUAUCGCAAUACUUUAUCACUGAUAACAAAAUCUGGUUAUCGGCCAUCCACUACUUAUUUAAAUAUAUAUCGGUAUCUUCGUUACUUUUGUAACCAAACUAGCGAUAAUCGCUACUUUUUUCCGCCUCUCAGAAAAAAAAUGUUGUCUCCUCCCUACACGUGCCCGGGCGCCCGGUGUUGUGUGAAAAAACUUUGGGGUAUGAAAUGUCUUUGAUGAAGAGAUUUCAUAUUUAGAUCAUCAACAUUAAAACACUAGGUUAUGUUUUUUAUGUUACUCAAAAAUCAAUAUAUCAAAGAGAAAAAUCAUUUAACUUUGCCCCAAAAGUGAUUAUUCACUGCCUCAAAUUUGAUAUUCCAUAUUCGUUUGUGAGCAUGUCAUGGUACUGAAGGCACCCGGUGUUGUGUUAUUUGGUGUCCCAUCGUCAAAAGC